GACGAACGCUGGCGGCGUGCUUAACACAUGCAAGUCGAACGGUGAAGGAAGAGCUUGCUCUUCCGGAUCAGUGGCGAACGGGUGAGUAACACGUGGGCAACCUGCCCUGACUCUGGGAUAACUCCUCGAAAGAGGUGCUAAUACCGGAUACGACCACUUCGGACAUCCGAUGGUGGUGGAAAAGUUUUUCGGUCAGGGAUGGGCCCGCGGCCUAUCAGCUAGUUGGUGGGGUAAUGGCCUACCAAGGCGACGACGGGUAGCCGGCCUGAGAGGGCGACCGGCCACACUGGGACUGAGACACGGCCCAGACUCCUACGGGAGGCAGCAGUGGGGAAUAUUGCGCAAUGGGCGAAAGCCUGACGCAGCGACGCCGCGUGAGGGAUGAAGGCCUUCGGGUUGUAACCGUCUUUCUAGCAGGGACGAAGCGAAAGUAGACGGUACCUGCAGAAGAAGACACCGGCUAACUACGUGCCAGCAGCCGCGGUAA
Molecule: ribosomal RNA, 487 nt
Filed under: uncultured bacterium
Lineage: Bacteria
Description: bacterial SSU rRNA
Rfam family: Bacterial small subunit ribosomal RNA
Source: RNAcentral